ACAACAUUUGGACCGUCGGUCUACCGAGCAAUAUAACCUGCUCGAUGGAAGAUCUUCCCUUUGUCAU
RNAcentral lists this microRNA precursor (67 nucleotides) under Bombyx mori (domestic silkworm). RNAcentral's name for it is "mir-2774 microRNA precursor family". It matches the Rfam family "mir-2774 microRNA precursor family". The record is from Rfam by way of RNAcentral. Lineage: Eukaryota; Metazoa; Arthropoda; Insecta; Lepidoptera; Bombycidae.